RNAcentral lists this ribosomal RNA (254 nucleotides) under uncultured bacterium. RNAcentral's name for it is "partial 16S ribosomal RNA". It matches the Rfam family "Bacterial small subunit ribosomal RNA", at positions 524 to 777 of the family's 1533-position model. The record is from RNAcentral.
UACGUAGGUGGCAAGCGUUGUCCGGAUUUACUGGGCGUAAAGAGCGCGCAGGCGGUUGUGCAAGUCGCGUGUGAAAGCCCCCGGCUCAACUGGGGAGGGUCACGCGAUACUGAUCGACUCGAAGGCAGGAGAGGGAAGUGGAAUUCCCGGUGUAGUGGUGAAAUGCGUAGAUAUCGGGAGGAACACCAGUGGCGAAGGCGACUUCCUGGCCUGUUCUUGACGCUGAGGCGCGAAAGCUAGGGGAGCAAACGGGG